This is a ribosomal RNA of Exophiala sideris, 120 nucleotides long. NCBI's taxonomy places the organism in Eukaryota, Fungi, Ascomycota, Eurotiomycetes, Chaetothyriales, Herpotrichiellaceae. The record is from Rfam.
GCAAUCGGCCAUAGGACAUGGAAAACAGGGCUUCCCGUUCGCUCAGCCGUACUUAAGCCAUGUGCCGGUACGUUAGUAGUUGGGUGGGUGACCACCAGCGAAUCCGUACUGUCGAUUGUU